This 77-nucleotide transfer RNA is filed under the name bacterium. Its description in RNAcentral is "tRNA-Met". It matches the Rfam family "tRNA". Rfam says of the family: Transfer RNA (tRNA) molecules are approximately 80 nucleotides in length. Their secondary structure includes four short double-helical elements and three loops (D, anti-codon, and T loops). RNAcentral also lists the same sequence under 2 other names. The record is from RNAcentral.
GGUGGCGUAGCUCAGCUGGUUAGAGCGUAGCACUCAUAACGCUAAGGUCGGUGGUUCAAGCCCACCCGCCACCACCA